AUCUAUGGUCAUGAUACCCUGAACAAGCCCGAUCCCAUCUGAUCUUGGUUGCUAAGAAGGGUUGGGCCUGGUUAGUACUUGGAUGGGAGACCACCCAGGAAAACCAGGUGCUGUAGGCA
RNAcentral lists this ribosomal RNA (119 nucleotides) under Pteropus alecto (black flying fox). The record is from RNAcentral. Lineage: Eukaryota; Metazoa; Chordata; Mammalia; Chiroptera; Pteropodidae.